UACGUAGGGGGCAAGCGUUGUCCGGAAUUCGUGGGCGUAAACCGCGCGCAGGCGGUCCUUUAAGUCUGAUGUGAAAUCUUGCGGCUUAACCGCAAGCGGUCAUUGGAAACUGGGGGACUUGAGUACAGAAGAGGAGAGCGGAAUUCCACGUGUAGCGGUGAAAUGCGCAGAUAUGUGGAGGAACACCAGUGGCGAAGGCGGCUAUCUGGUCUGUAACUGACACUGAGGUGCGAAAGCGUGGGUAGCAAACAGG
RNAcentral lists this unclassified non-coding RNA (253 nucleotides) under uncultured Caryophanales bacterium. Its description in RNAcentral is "uncultured Bacillales bacterium contains 16S-23S intergenic spacer region". It matches the Rfam family "Bacterial small subunit ribosomal RNA", at positions 524 to 776 of the family's 1533-position model. The record is from RNAcentral. Lineage: Bacteria; Bacillati; Bacillota; Bacilli; Caryophanales.